Molecule: ribosomal RNA, 434 nt
Filed under: uncultured Clostridium sp.
Lineage: Bacteria; Bacillati; Bacillota; Clostridia; Eubacteriales; Clostridiaceae
Description: partial 16S ribosomal RNA
Rfam family: Bacterial small subunit ribosomal RNA
Source: RNAcentral
ACGGAAGGCAGCAGUGGGGAAUAUUGCACAAUGGGGGAAACCCUGAUGCAGCGACGCCGCGUGAGUGAAGAAGUAUUUCGGUAUGUAAAGCUCUAUCAGCAGGAAAGAAAAUGACGGUACCUGACUAAGAAGCCCCGGCUAACUACGUGCCAGCAGCCGCGGUAAUACGUAGGGGGCAAGCGUUAUCCGGAUUUACUGGGUGUAAAGGGAGCGUAGACGGCUUUGCAAGUCUGAAGUGAAAGCCCGGGGCUCAACCCCGGAACUGCUUUGGAAACUGUAGAGCUAGAGUGCAGGAGAGGUAAGUGGAAUUCCUAGUGUAGCGGUGAAAUGCGUAGAUAUUAGGAGGAACACCAGUGGCGAAGGCGGCUUACUGGACGAUUACUGACGCUGAGGCUCGAAAGCGUGGGGAGCAAACAGGAUUAGAUACCCUGGUA